This 497-nucleotide ribosomal RNA is filed under the name uncultured bacterium. RNAcentral's name for it is "partial 16S ribosomal RNA". It matches the Rfam family "Bacterial small subunit ribosomal RNA", at positions 28 to 507 of the family's 1533-position model. The record is from RNAcentral.
GAUGAACGCUGGCGGCGUGCCUAAUACAUGCAAGUCGAGCGAACAGACGAGGAGCUUGCUCCUCUGACGUUAGCGGCGGACGGGUGAGUAACACGUGGAUAACCUACCUAUAAGACUGGGAUAACUUCGGGAAACCGGAGCUAAUACCGGAUAAUAUAUUGAACCGCAUGGUUCAAUAGUGAAAGACGGUUUUGCUGUCACUUAUAGAUGGAUCCGCGCCGCAUUAGCUAGUUGGUAAGGUAACGGCUUACCAAGGCAACGAUGCGUAGCCGACCUGAGAGGGUGAUCGGCCACACUGGAACUGAGACACGGUCCAGACUCCUACGGGAGGCAGCAGUAGGGAAUCUUCCGCAAUGGGCGAAAGCCUGACGUAGCAACGCCGCGUGAGUGAUGAAGGUCCUCGGAUCGUAAAACUCUGUUAUUAGGGAAGAACAAAUGUGUAAGUAACUAUGCGCGUCUUGACGGUACCUAAUCAGAAAGCCACGGCUAACUACGUG